UGUUAGUACUUUUGCAAUGUUAGCUUGUUAAUUUGGUCAGGUCUGGAAAGAAGCAGCCACAAUAGGUAAUACAUGUGCUGGAAUGCAACUAACAGGG
RNAcentral lists this signal recognition particle RNA (97 nucleotides) under Candidatus Pantoea edessiphila. RNAcentral describes it as "Bacterial small signal recognition particle RNA". It matches the Rfam family "Bacterial small signal recognition particle RNA". Rfam says of the family: The signal recognition particle (SRP) is a universally conserved ribonucleoprotein involved in the co-translational targeting of proteins to membranes. Archaeal SRP consists of a 7S RNA and homologues of the eukaryotic SRP19 and SRP54 proteins. In most bacteria, the SRP consists of a 4.5S RNA and the Ffh protein (a homologue of the eukaryotic SRP54 protein). Lineage: Bacteria; Pseudomonadati; Pseudomonadota; Gammaproteobacteria; Enterobacterales; Erwiniaceae. The record is from Rfam by way of RNAcentral.